GCGCGAAACCUCCGCAAUGCGGGAAACCGCGACGGGGCUAGCCAGAGUGCCCGUGCAUAGCGCGGGCUGUCCGGGUGCCUAAAAAGCACCCGAUAGCAAGGGAUGGGCAAGGCCGGUGGCAGCCGCCGCGGUAAUACCGGCGUCCCGAGUGGCGGCCACUUUUAUUGGGCCUAAAGCGUUCGUAGCCGGGCUGGUAAGUCCCCCGGGAAAUCUGGUCGCUCAACGAUCAGACUGCCGGGGGAUACUGCCAGCCUAGGGACCGGGAGAGGCCGAGGGUAUUCCCGGGGUAGGGGUGAAAUCCUGUAAUCCCGGGAGGACCACCUGUGGCGAAGGCGCUCGGCUGGAACGGGUCCGACGGUGAGGAACGAAGGCCUGGGGAGCGAACCGGAUUAGAUACCCGGGUAGUCCAGGCUGUAAACGAUGCGGGCUAGGUGUCACCGGAGCUACGAGCUCCGGUGGUGCCGGAGGGAAGCCGUUAAGCCCGCCGCCUGGGAAGUACGGCCGCAAGGCUGAAACUUAA
Molecule: ribosomal RNA, 520 nt
Filed under: uncultured archaeon
Lineage: Archaea
Description: SSU rRNA
Rfam family: Archaeal small subunit ribosomal RNA
Source: RNAcentral